Molecule: ribosomal RNA, 497 nt
Filed under: uncultured bacterium
Lineage: Bacteria
Description: partial 16S ribosomal RNA
Rfam family: Bacterial small subunit ribosomal RNA
Source: RNAcentral
GAUGAACGCUGGCGGCGUGCCUAAUACAUGCAAGUCGAGCGAACAGACGAGGAGCUUGCUCCUUUGACGUUAGCGGCGGACGGGUGAGUAACACGUGGAUAACCUACCUAUAAGACUGGGAUAACUUCGGGAAACCGGAGCUAAUACCGGAUAACAUGUUGAACCGCAUUGUUCAACAGUGAAAGACGGUCUUGCUGUCACUUAUAGAUGGAUCCGCGCCGCAUUAGCUAGUUGUUAAGGUAACGGCUUACCAAGGCAACGAUGCGUAGCCGACCGGAGAGAGUGGUAGCCGGCCUGGGAGCUGGGACACGCUCCAGGCUCCUACGGGAGGCAGCAGUAGGGAAUCUUACGCAAUGGGCGGAAGCCUGACGGAGCAAGGCCGCGUGAGUGAAGACGGCGUCCGGAUCGUAAAGCUCUGUUACUAGGUAAGAACAAAUUUGGAAGUAAAUGUGCACGUAUUGACGGUACCUAAUCAGAAAGCCCCGGCUAACUACGUG